This is a small nuclear RNA of Chlorocebus sabaeus (green monkey), 104 nucleotides long. The record is from Ensembl. NCBI's taxonomy places the organism in Eukaryota, Metazoa, Chordata, Mammalia, Primates, Cercopithecidae.
GUGCUCACUUUGGCAGUACAUAUACUAAAAUUGGAAUGAUACAGAGAUUAGCACGGCCUCUGAGCAAGGAUGACACGCAAAUUCAUGAAGUAUUCCAUAUAAAA